GUAGAUUUGGACAUAUAUAUAUAUAUAAAACUAAGCUGAAAUACUAUCAAUAGCACUAAGUUAUUGGUGCUAUUAAUUUUUUAGCCUUUGAAUUGAGAUAUUUGUGGUUAGAAUGAUAUGGACCCCCUAGGGUUGAGUGGAUGGUUGGUUGAAUAGUAUAAACUAACGGGUAAAAAUAGUCAAAAGGUUAAAUCUAACAGUGGAAAACUAUAGCGCCAAGUCCUGGUGCUAUCGAUAGUAUCCUAGCCGGACUCUAUAGAUAUAUAUAUAUAUACAUG
This 278-nucleotide long non-coding RNA is filed under the name Ananas comosus (pineapple). RNAcentral's name for it is "long non-coding RNA (ACOM_LNC009524)". The record is from RNAcentral. Lineage: Eukaryota; Viridiplantae; Streptophyta; Magnoliopsida; Poales; Bromeliaceae.